GGCGAACGCUGGCGGCGUGCUUAACACAUGCAAGUCGAACGAAGAGCGAUGGAAGCUUGCUUCUAUCAAUCUUAGUGGCGAACGGGUGAGUAACGCGUAAUCAACCUGCCCUUCAGAGGGGGACAACAGUUGGAAACGACUGCUAAUACCGCAUACGAUCUAAUCUCGGCAUCGAGGAUAGAUGAAAGGUGGCCUCUACAUGUAAGCUAUCACUGAAGGAGGGGAUUGCGUCUGCUUAGCUAGUUGGAGGGGUAACGGCCCACCAAGGCGAUGAUCAGUAGCCGGUCUGGGAGGAUGAACGGCCACAUUGGGACUGAGACACGGCCCAGACUCCUACGGGAGGCAGCAGUGGGGAAUCUUCCGCAAUGGACGAAAGUCUGACGGAGCAACGCCGCGUGAGUGAUGACGGCCUUCGGGUUGUAAAGCUCUGUUAAUCGGGACGAAAGGCCUUCUUGCGAAUAGUGAGAAGGAUUGACGGUACCGGAAUAGAAAGCCACGGCUAACUACGUG
This 510-nucleotide ribosomal RNA is filed under the name uncultured bacterium. RNAcentral's name for it is "partial 16S ribosomal RNA". It matches the Rfam family "Bacterial small subunit ribosomal RNA", at positions 28 to 507 of the family's 1533-position model. The record is from RNAcentral.